ACAUAAGCAUAAAUCCCUAUAUAUAUGCAUAUGAAAUUUCAGAGUCCCCAAAGAUGAUUAGAGAGAGAGAGAUUAAUGACAGGUGUGUAUUGGUCAUCGAUUGGUUUAUAUUGAUUUUUCCUUCUUGUCCUUGGCAGCCUCGCCGCACGCUGAGUCCUCCAAGGAGAUGGAAGCUGCUGUUCAACGAGGAGGGUUGCCUAGACGCAGCUGGAAUGAUCAUGAGAGUACAACGUGGGGGUGUCCACCCAAAUAUCAAAGGGGAAGUCUGGGAGUUUUUGCUGGGUUGUUACGACCCUAAAAGCACUACUGAACAGAGGAACCAGUUGCGGCAACAGAGAAGGCAUCCGAUGCUAGGAAAGAGAGGAGAUGGUCUUCGUCAGUUGCAUUGAAGCAUGGGAAGGAUGCAGGUGAAGCGGUGGAGAAGGACACCGACGUUGCCAAGGUUGUUAUAGCAGCGACACUCGAGAACGCUCAAGGGAAGAGUAGACGCGCCUGGGUGGCUGGGUGACUCUGACCACUGGAAGCAGUUAAUCACAUGAUAGUAAAGGAAUAUGCGAAGCUGAUGAGGCUAGAGCUAAAGUUCUUUCUCUUGGAUUCCUCAGUUAGGUACACCAUUUCUUCAAUUGUCCACAUUUUAAACUGUAUAUUAUUGUCGUAAAUCAAGUGGAAUAUGUGUAUGCAAACUGUGAAACUAAAACUUGGAAACAAACAUCAUUGAUUACUAAUCGAUGAUGUAACUUUUGAAGGAAGUAACAAAUGGAAUGAUUUGUUGCCCAUGUACAUUUGGUAAUUUUCUUUGAUAGUUUUUGUUGUUUAUGUAUAGAAAAAAAAUCAUUGGUAGAGAGGAAUCUUUCUGAAAAUGUUUUCUCGGUAGUGAAAUGGGGAGAAAAUGUUUCUCAAAAAUGUUCAUUUCAAUUUUUUAUGGCUGAAAUAUGGGAAAGGAUGGUGAGUCCAUGAUGCUUGGGGUUCUUUGCAAUUCAUUUUCUUCCAUUCCUAUGACGUAGAUAUUUCUUCUGUGUCAACCUAAAGUAUUAUCCGCUUCUGAUAAAUGCAAAGGAAAAUCUGCAAGUUACCAUUUACCUUUACGCAUAUUUCUUCUGUUAGUGUGACUUAAAAUUCAAUAUGCUUUGCCUAUUGACUAUGUUAGAGCUGAUCUGUGCGAGCUGUUAGCCUUUUGAUGAACACAUGGUGUUGAUUAUUUAGGACUGGAAUGUUCAGCCUCCCUGUAUGCCGACUACAUUUCUAAGACAUGAACCUAUUUUUGUACUAUGGUCAUCAUUUCUAAGACUUGCUGAUGCAUGAUUACACUGCUAAUUGCUACAGUAGACACGCAGACGCAGCUUGGUGCAUUCUUCUCUUCUUUCCCUUUAUAUUUUCUUCAUCCUUGUGCUUGUAAAUUUGUAACUCAAGAGGUCACAAACUUUUGCAAUCUGAAGGUAUCACUUUCAGACUGGUACAUAUGCAUGUAGCUGUUCAUGAAGCAUCAUUUUACUAAAGUGUCCAAUGUCUGUUCUCUUAUAAUCCAGGAUAAAUGCGAAUGCAUACAAUAUAUGAAUUUAUUUCCAGUGUUUCAAAUAAUUAAGUUUCAUGCGAGCAACAACUUCAAGUAAUAACUCAUCGCUUUCGUAUGUGUUCAGAUGAGUAGGAAUGUCUACGAUUACUAGUGGUGCAUAGUAUUGUAGACAUUCCUACUCAUUUGAACACAUACGAAAGCGAUGAGUUAUUACUUGAAGUUGUUGCUCACAUGAAACUUAAUUAUUUGAAACACUGGAAAUAAAUUCAUAUAUUGUAUGCAUUUGCAUUUAUCCUGGACCCUGGGGCUAAACUUGAUAUGUUUGCUAAUGCACUCGAUGUACUAGUUGGGUCCCUACAUUUAGAUUAUUCUGCUCAUUUCAUGGUUGUUCGUGAUAAGCUUUCUGAAGUUACAUAAGUAUGAUCAAAAGUAUGCCGGAGUUCAGAUGCAAUGACCUCCACCAGCACCAACUGCAUGAAAAAAAGGAGCACCGAGCAAGAUAUUUGGUUAUUCCUCCUCUACCUCGAGCUCUUCCACAUGAGCAUCAGGUGGCAGGGAGUUAGCGAAGUAUCUCAACAACGACAAAGUCAGCUUCGAUGAACAUGACGAGGAGGACUUCGACAUACCGUAGUGGUGUUCUAACCACAAGCUUGCAUAUUCGGUGCUUUCCAUAUUAGCAAGGGAUGUGUUAUCAGUACACAUCUCAUCGAAAUCAUCGGAGUCUACUUUCAGCCUAGCUGGAAGAAUACUUGAGGAGAGAAGAACAAGCCUGACCCAGAUAUGAUGAAAACAUUAAUGACCUUGAAAGAUGGGGAACUAGCAGAAGGAGAGCCCAACACACCACAGACAACAAAGAACUGAAGGCACGUUUCGAAGAUCUUGCCAUUAAAGAAGAAGAAUAGUUAUAGUUGUAGUCUUUGUAAAAAAAAUUGAAGGUCACCGGGGAGGGCAAAGGCCCCCACCUAAAUAAUUUUCAUUUUCUAUAUUUUUGACACGGGAACGAGUGUUACAGGAUGAAAGAGUCUUUGUAAUGUUAAUUUUAAUUUUGUAAUUUUAUUUUCCUUUUGUGAUCUAGAGUGUGACGUUGUACUUUGUUUCUUUCCCAGAGAUGGAAGGUUUAACGAGGCAACCAGCAAUAAAGCUCUAUUGAUUUUUUAAUUUUC
This is a non-coding RNA of Triticum urartu, 2676 nucleotides long. NCBI's taxonomy places the organism in Eukaryota, Viridiplantae, Streptophyta, Magnoliopsida, Poales, Poaceae. The record is from RefSeq and is a predicted model, not a curated record.